RNAcentral lists this transfer-messenger RNA (397 nucleotides) under human gut metagenome. It matches the Rfam family "transfer-messenger RNA". From Rfam's summary of the family: Bacterial tmRNA, also known as 10Sa RNA or SsrA, is named for its dual tRNA and mRNA-like properties. Its role is to liberate the mRNA from a stalled ribosome. The record is from RNAcentral.
GGGGAUGUUUUGGAUUUGACAGCAUAUGACAUCGGAAGGUAAGCACGUCGAGCGUCGUAGCCUUGCUCGCUAAUCUCAGACUACAAGCCUAUAAAUGGCAACGAAUCUUAUGCACUCGCUGCGUAGUCUGCCAAGCACACUACCUUAAUCCUCGCCGCCAAGGCUGCGGCGACGACGAGUAUCCCGCCGGACUUUAAGUCUGCUAUGGCCGGCACUAGGGGUAUCAUCCAAGCGGAAUGCGGAUACUGAUUUCUCUAAGGUAUCCUAAGACUCAGAGGAUAAGGGUAAGGUAGUUUGUCCUUUAGCAGCCUUGCCCCGACAACCACUAAAGGAAUAAGCGUGUAGAAAGCCUUUGGGUGCUAUGUUUGGACGGCGGUUCGAGCCCGCCCAUCUCCAC